This 1434-nucleotide unclassified non-coding RNA is filed under the name Hevea brasiliensis (rubber tree). The record is from RNAcentral. Lineage: Eukaryota; Viridiplantae; Streptophyta; Magnoliopsida; Malpighiales; Euphorbiaceae.
GGCUAAUGGUGGCUCAUGGGUAGAUGUGCAUUGAUGCUUUUGGGGCAGGGCAGCUGUAUUGGUGGUAGCUAGGAGGAGCAGAAUUGUGUUGGAAAUGGUCCUGGUGAUGGGUACGGUUGUUGUAGCCUUACCUGCCCUUAACCGUUUCCAAUGCAAGUCAGAGCAAUCAAUCAAGCAAAGCCUCUGUCUCUCUCACGCCCCACUCAUCUCCUUAUUUCUGACUUCAGCCCCCACGUAUUUGAUUAAGAAAUAACGCAAGCCAUUGUCUCCUCAGAUUCUACUGUGGCUCCAUCACCGUUUCAGAAUCUCCUCUCAUGUCUAUUUCCAUCUGCUUCUUUUCUCCUUGUUUCUUGUCUUUAAGCUCCACAAUUCUUUGUUUCUUGUAGAGUUAGGUGGGGCUGUUAACCUUCCUUCUGUCAGGAUUCUCUUUGCUAGGCCCUUUCUCAGUCCCACAAGGCUGACAAAAAGCCUAUAGAAGCAAGGAAUUAAAUCACCUCCCCACAUAACCACAACAUACAAGGAAACAUAACCAAAAUCUCUCUAUCUUACAAGAAUUUUCCGCCUUUAGCCUUUUAUUCCCAGAUGAAGACAAUUAUGGCCAAGACCCCUCAUGACUCUUCUUUCUCUUUCUCCAGGAGAUAUUUCAACUGGAGAAAGAAAGUUGUUGAAGAUGAAGAUGAUGACGAAGAAAUCUUAACUUUCAACUCCUCCUCACAUUUCUCAUGCGGGGAGGAGUUGAAAGACGAGAAACUUAGAAUCACACUGCCCGCUGAAGGGAUGCCUCCUGCAGUGCAAGCACCUAGAAAAAAGCUACCUAUUGUCGCUGUUUCUAAGCUCCGAUCAGCUCUUACUGUUUUCUACAAGGGUCGACCAACCUAUCACUCCGGUUUAGGAACCAAAUUGAUAGGUACCCUUUUUGGGUAUCGUCGAGGUCAUGUCCAUUUUGCAUUUCAAGAGGAUGCCAAACUUAAUCCAGCUUUCUUGAUUGAGCUUGCAACGCCAACUAGUGUAUUAGUCCGGGAAAUGGCUUCUGGAUUAGUGAGAAUUGCUUUAGAAUGUGAAAAGAAGCCGCAGAAGAAAGCAGGGAAGUUGGUGGAGGAGCCCAUAUGGAGGACUUUUUGUAAUGGCAAGAAAUGUGGGUAUGCAAUGAGGCGUGAGUGUGGUCCAGAAGAGUGGAAGGUUUUGAAGGCUGUGGAGCCAAUUUCAAUGGGUGCCGGUGUGCUGCCAGGGAAUGGAGCAGGGUCCGAAGGGGAACUCAUGUACAUGAGAGCCAGGUUUGAGAGAGUUGUUGGGUCAAAAGACUCGGAAGCAUUUUACAUGAUGAAUCCUGAUGGGGCUGGAGGUCCUGAACUGAGUGUUUACUUGCUUAGAGUUUAGGUUUAUGGUCCCUGUAGUCGGUAGCAUACUAGCAUCUGCAAUCCAUCCAUUUCACCG